Molecule: ribosomal RNA, 470 nt
Filed under: uncultured bacterium
Lineage: Bacteria
Description: partial 16S ribosomal RNA
Rfam family: Bacterial small subunit ribosomal RNA
Source: RNAcentral
UACGAACGCUGGCGGCGUGCUUAACACAUGCAAGUCGAGCGGGGAACUUCGGUUCCCAGCGGCGGACGGGUGAGUAACACGUGGGUAACCUGCCUUACAGUGGGGAAUAGCCUUCCGAAAGGAAGAUUAAUACCGCAUAAUACUCAGAGAUCACAUGAUCUUUGAGCCAAAGGAUUUAUUCGCUGUAAGAUGGACCCGCGGCGCAUUAGCUUGUUGGUGAGGUAACGGCUCACCAAGGCUUCGAUGCGUAGCCGACCUGAGAGGGUGAUCGGCCACAUUGGAACUGAGAUACGGUCCAGACUCCUACGGGAGGCAGCAGUGGGGAAUAUUGCACAAUGGAGGAAACUCUGAUGCAGCAACGCCGCGUGAGUGAUGAAGGUCUUCGGAUCGUAAAACUCUGUCUUAUGGGACGAUAAUGACGGUACCAUAGGAGGAAGCCACGGCUAACUACGUGCCAGCCGCCGCAGUAA